AUACGGAGGAUGCAAGCGUUAUCCGGAUUUAUUGGGUUUAAAGGGUGCGUAGGCGGUUUGCUAAGCGGGAGGUGAAAUGCCGGCGCUCAACGUCGGAAGUGCCUCCCGAACUGGUGGACUUGAAUGACUCUGCCGUGGGAGGAAUGUGUAGUGUAGCGGUGAAAUGCUUAGAGAUUACACAGAACACCGAUUGCGAAGGCAUCUCACGAAGGGUUGAUUGACGCUGAGGCACGAAAGCGUGGGGAUCAAACAGGAUUAGAUACCCUGGUAGUCCACGCAGUAAACGAUGAUGGCUAACCGCUGGGCUUAUCAGUUCAGUGGCCAAGCGAAAGCGAUAAGCCAUCCACCUGGGGAGUACGACCGCAAGGUUGAAACUCAAAUGAAUCGGCGGGG
Molecule: ribosomal RNA, 393 nt
Filed under: uncultured bacterium
Lineage: Bacteria
Description: partial 16S ribosomal RNA
Rfam family: Bacterial small subunit ribosomal RNA
Source: RNAcentral